UACAGAGGGUGCGAGCGUUGUCCGGAAUUACUGGGCGUAAAGGGCGCGUAGGCGGCCUUCUAAGUCAGACGUGAAAUCCCCCGGCUUAACCUGGGAACUGCGUCUGAUACUGGGAGGCUUGAGUAUGGGAGAGGGAUGUAGAAUUCCAGGUGUAGCGGUGAAAUGCGUAGAUAUCGAGAGGAACACCUGCGGCGAAGGCGGGUUGCUGGGCUGACACUGACGCUGAGGCGCGAAAGCUAGGGGAGCGAACGGG
RNAcentral lists this ribosomal RNA (253 nucleotides) under uncultured bacterium. RNAcentral describes it as "partial 16S ribosomal RNA". It matches the Rfam family "Bacterial small subunit ribosomal RNA", at positions 524 to 776 of the family's 1533-position model. The record is from RNAcentral.